RNAcentral lists this long non-coding RNA (592 nucleotides) under Salmo salar (Atlantic salmon). Its description in RNAcentral is "lncRNA (ENSSSAG00000117891.1)". The record is from RNAcentral. Lineage: Eukaryota; Metazoa; Chordata; Actinopteri; Salmoniformes; Salmonidae.
UUGUGGGGGCGAUAGGUCUAUUGUUGUGGGGGCGAUAGGUCUGUUGUUUUGGGGGCGAUAGGUCUAUUGUUGUGGGGGCGAUAGGUCUAUUGUUGUGGGGGCGAUAGGUCUAUUGUUGUGGGGGCGAUAGGUCUAUUGUUUUGGGGACGAUAGGUCUGUUGUUUUGGGGAUGAUAGGUAUGUUGUGGGGGCGAUAGGUCUGUUGUUUAUUGAACAGGCAGGGUUCCUAAAUUAAACCCAUCUAUAAUCUCAACUUCAAUGUUAUAUACAUUAUUUACAAUGGAAUGUUGGGCUGAUGCUUAUAGACUUAAUGCCAUUGUAUACAAAAGAGUUGAAGCCUUUAGACUUAAUGCUUUUGUAUACAAAAGUAGAUUUGAGGGAAUGACAAUGAAAAAGAAGAUAGAGAAUAUUUUUUACAACAACCAUAAUAUAUGGACUCAAGGACAACACCAAUACCUAAUUCUGUCAUUCUCCCACAUUUUUUUUGUUUUUAAAUCAUUUCAGGUCAAGUAUGGCAGUGGUUCCUAAAAGGAACAAAACAUUGAUUUGUGCUUGAAUAGAAAUAUAAUUGACUUCAGUUAUGGAAAUGCUUU